This 386-nucleotide long non-coding RNA is filed under the name Sorghum bicolor (sorghum). RNAcentral's name for it is "long non-coding RNA (SBIC_LNC005734)". The record is from RNAcentral. Lineage: Eukaryota; Viridiplantae; Streptophyta; Magnoliopsida; Poales; Poaceae.
CGGAAACUCAAAUAUACAGGCACUUUGCCGGGCAACUUUGGAAAACGUGACCUCUGAAGUUUCAGACACAGGCGAAACAAACAUGGUAACGAAGGGAAUGAUACCAAACAAUCACUGAUACGACAUAAUUAGCAACGAAGACUUCCAGGUGAGCUUCCGUAUAGCAGAUUAUCAAGAAGCCAGUUGGUUUUGGCUCCAAAAGGAAAACAUCCCCUUGUACCUUGCAGGAGAAAACUGGCGUGACAGUAAGGCAAAUGGCUUCUCUUUGCUGCAGCUGGUAGCACAUUUGAUUGGUUCCAGUGUCUUGAGUACAGGAACCGGCUCUUGCGGUGCGGCAUUUUCAGCUAACACCAAUGGAGAUACCUUGGCAGACUCAGGAACACAUG